AUGCAAGUCGAACGGCAGCACAGGAGAGCUUGCUCUCUGGGUGGCGAGUGGCGGACGGGUGAGGAAUAUAUCGGAAUCUACCCUUUCGUGGGGGAUAACGUAGGGAAACUUACGCUAAUACCGCAUACGAACUGAGGUUGAAAGCGGCGGACCGCAAGGCGUCGCGCGGAUGGAUGAGCCGAUAUCCGAUUAGCUAGUUGGCGGGGUAAAAGCCCACCAAGGCGACGAUCGGUAGCUGGUCUGAGAGGAUGAUCAGCCACACUGGAACUGAGACACGGUCCAGACUCCUACGGGAGGCAGCAGUGGGGAAUAUUGGACAAUGGGCGCAAGCCUGAUCCAGCCAUGCCGCGUGUGUGAAGAAGGCCUUCGGGUUGUAAAGCACUUUUGUUGGGAAAGAAAAGCGGUCGGUUAAUACCCGGUCGUUCUGACGGUACCCAAAGAAUAAGCACCGGCUAACUUCGUGCCAGCAGCCGCGGUAAUACGAAGGGUGCAAGCGUUACUCGGAAUUACUGGGCGUAAAGCGUGCGUAGGUGGUUUGUUAAGUCAGAUGUGAAAGCCCCGGGCUCAACCUGGGAAUUGCAUUUGAUACUGGCAGACUAGAGUGCGGUAGAGGAGAGUGGAAUUCCCGGUGUAGCAGUGAAAUGCGUAGAGAUCGGGAGGAACAUCAGUUGCGAAGGCGGCUCUCUGGACCAGCACUGACACUGAGGCACGAAAGCGUGGGGAGCAAACAGGA
Molecule: ribosomal RNA, 733 nt
Filed under: uncultured Gammaproteobacteria bacterium
Lineage: Bacteria; Pseudomonadati; Pseudomonadota; Gammaproteobacteria
Description: bacterial SSU rRNA
Rfam family: Bacterial small subunit ribosomal RNA
Source: RNAcentral